This 72-nucleotide transfer RNA is filed under the name Eubacterium ventriosum. Its description in RNAcentral is "tRNA-Gln". It matches the Rfam family "tRNA". From Rfam's summary of the family: Transfer RNA (tRNA) molecules are approximately 80 nucleotides in length. Their secondary structure includes four short double-helical elements and three loops (D, anti-codon, and T loops). Lineage: Bacteria; Bacillati; Bacillota; Clostridia; Eubacteriales; Eubacteriaceae. The record is from RNAcentral. RNAcentral also lists the same sequence under 1 other name.
AGCCUUUUGGUCUAGCGGUUAUGACGCUGGUCUUUGACACCAGAGAUAUUGGUUCAACUUCAAUAGGGGCUG